This 8356-nucleotide long non-coding RNA is filed under the name Homo sapiens (human). Its description in RNAcentral is "HSALNT0050979". Lineage: Eukaryota; Metazoa; Chordata; Mammalia; Primates; Hominidae. The record is from RNAcentral.
GAGGACACCUAGAUGGCACCAUUUAUGAGGAAGGAACCCUCCCUACACACUUAACCUGCUGGCACCUUGAUCUUGGACUUUCUAGGCUUCAGAGGAAAUGAGUUUCUGUACUUUAUAAAUUAUCCAGUCUCGGGUAUUUUAUUAAAGCUUACAAACAGACUUGUAUUAUCUCCUUUAUCUUGCAAACCUCUAUAGCCAUGUCCAUUUUAUUGAGGCUCAGAGAUGCUAAGGAGCCCAAGGUCACACAGCUAGUAAGGAACAGGUCCAGGCAUUCAUUCAUUAAUGAAUUCAUUAAUUCGUUCAAUCAACCAAUCUUUACUUAUUUAUUAAAGGCCUAUAAUGUGCUAGUCAAAGUCUAGAUGUUGGGAAAAUAACAGUAAUCAAGUCAAAGUGCUCGUCCACAAGGAGCUACCAUUCUAGCGGAAGAAACAUAUCCUAAAGAAAAAUACAAGUCAAUAAAUACUGUGUCAGGUGGUGAUAAAUGCUAUGGGGAAGAAAGAGGGUUAGUGAUGGCUGAAGUGGGUCUGCUGUUUAUAUAGGGUGGUCAAGGUGAUCUGGCAACAUUUGAGCGGAGAUCUAAAGGAAAUGAGUCAUGCAGAGAUCUGCAGGAAAAAACAUCACAGGAGGUGGGAACAGCCUAUGCAAAGGCCCUGGGGUGGGCACAUCUAUGGUAUGUUGGAGAGGCAGCGAGGAGUUUAGUGUGGCUGGAGCUGAGUGAGUGAGGGGAGAUAAACUUAGGUGACAGGGGUUAGAUCACGGAGGGCCUCGUGGUCAUGGCAGGAACUUCGGUUUUGACUUUGAUGAAACAGGGAGCCACUAAAGGACAACUCCCAGAACCCAUGUCCUUAAUUGCUAUGCUAUACUACUGAUGGAUUACGUGAAUGAAUGCCGAAAGGUACUUGUGGACUUUUUCUCAUUAAAACCAGCAGGAUGGUGGCCCAGAGAGUCUAGAAACAACGCAUGGAAGGGCAAGAUGUGAGUUAACAAGGAGGGCUAAUUAGGAAGGGGGAAAAGUGCCCAUUGCCUUGGUUGCCGGGAGUCUCUGAGGCUCCCACAGCACAGGACUGUGUAGGGCCCCGUGAUAGCCCCAGUGGGUCCUCUACCUGGAUUUGCAGAGUAGAUUUUCCAGGCCUGCCCCAGAUGGGUCUCAGCCCUUCCAUGAAAUAUGUCCUUUGCUAACAAGAGGCAGUGAGAAAAAGCCAACGUCUGCAAUGACUCACCAGAGAGAAAUGAAAAUUGUGCCCAGACUGGAAAAGAACCCAUCUGAAAGUGACACAUUUGCCUCCAAAAUAUAUAUACAUAUAUAUAAAGCUUUUUCUUUUCUUUUUCCUUCUCAUUUGAAGGAAGGCAGAGCCUUCUCACAUACACUGCCUCACAGCAGGAAAAUCUACUCUGCAAACUUCUGAAAUUCCUGUCCUUAUUCCUGUCGCAAUUCUAUGAGGCAAAAGGAUAUCAUAUCUGGGGAGGUGGCCAUUUCACGGCAGGACAGCAAGCGUGUGCCCUGGCAUUCCCAGGACAAUCCCAAUAGCAAAUAUUCUUCUGAUUGGCUGCCCCCCUCCCCCAGCCCCACUGCCAACUAACCAGCUAUUCUGACUUGGGAGUGCGUACGUUAAAAUGCAGAUUCUGGGAACUCUGAUUCAGGAGGUCUGGGAGGAAGCCCGGACACUGCACUUCAAAUAGAGAACCUCCAAUGAUUCUGAUACAGCCUGUCUAAGAAACGCUUCUCCAAACCACAGGAAUAGUCCCAGUAGCCCUAGCCUUCUGCAUCUAUGCUUAAAGGAUGAAGUGACUCCAAUCCUUUCUCAGACCACAGGGAGGCACAUUUUAGCUCCUGGCAGAGGUCAGAAUGCUCCUGGCCAAAUCAGAGUGGUGGAGAAUCUUGAAAUCCCAGUCCUUGCCCCUGUCCAUUCCAACUCUCUUCAUUUAUCUUCCUGACUUGAGCUUCUGGACUCUGCCGAGCAUUUGCUCUCUGGGUCAUAGCCAGGAAGGCCCCGGUGCUGAGGCAUGGAGCUGCCCUGGGUCUUGGAUACAAGCCACAGCUGGAGAGGGGGUCAGACCUUGCCUAAGCCUCUGAUCAUGAAGUAUAACAGAAAUGCCUAAUUGUGAUUAUGAAACACUGUUUCACGUCUUAAUUUGUUGAAGUUACAUGUUGACAGUAGGUACUGCCUUAGCAGGUGGAAACAAAAGGGUCCUACAUCUAUUAUUACUGUAAUUUACUGGAAUAAGGAGCCACCAGAUGCAGCCCUGGCUCACACCCCUUCCUCAUGAAUUACAAAGCUGGUCUGAGGGCCCUGUCAGUUGCUGGCUUUGGGCACCAACAUUGCUAAUUAAAAUCUUCCUGUGGUGCACUCCACUUUGUUGAGAUCUCUGCUCAGAUGCCAUCUUCCUUACCCACUGGUCUAAAUGACUCUCUUCCCCAGUGCCCUUCUCUUGUUAUUUCUAACCUCUUAGCCUACUUUAUUUUCCUUCAGAGCAUCCACCACUACUUGAAUUACAAAUUGAUUUAUUUGCUUGCUACUUUAUCAUCUGCCUUAAUCCAUCUAGAAGGUAAGUUCUUUAAGAGCUAUGACGUUGUCAUGUUCAACACUGUAUUUUGAUGCCUUGCACAUAACAGGCACUCAACUGAUAGUUGCUGAAUGAAUCAAUCAAUGAUAAAUGAAUGAAUGUUACAAUGUUCUGAGGGCCCUGGAGUCAUGUCUAACUGCAUGAUGCUCUACUUAUUGGAUCCAGUGGUCUUUGCGGACUAAGCAGAUACACAAAAAAUAACAACAGCUGCUUUUUUUUUUUUUUUCUUUUGAGACAGGAUCUUGCUCUGUUGCAUAGGCUGGAGUGCAGUGGCACAAUCUUGGUUCACUGCAACCUCUGCCUCCCGAGCUCAAGCAAUCCUCCCACCUUGGCCUCCCCGGUAGCUGGGACUGUGAAUGCGCACCACCACACCUGACUAAUUUUUGUAUUUUUUGGUAGAGAUGGGGUUUCACCGCAUUGCCCAGGCUGGCCUCAAACACCUGGGCUCAAAUGAUCCGCCUGCCUUGGGCUCCCAGAGUGCUGGGAUUACGGGUGUGAGCCUCCGCACCCAGCCAAUAGCUGUUUUAUUUAGUGCUUACUAUGUACUGGGUGUACACACCAUCUCAUUUUAUCCUCAGAGUAGUUUUGCAAGGUCGGGAUUAUUAACCCCAUUUAUUUAUUUAUUUUUUUGAGACAGGGUCUCGUUUUGUCACCCAGGCUGGAUACACUGGCACGUUCAAUAGUUCACGGCAGCCUCGACCUCCCGGGCUCAAGCAACUCUCCCAUCUCAGCAUCCCGAGUAGCUGAGACCACAGGUACUCACCACCAUGCCCAGCUAAUUUUUGUAUCUUUUUUGGUAGAGACAGGGUUUCACCAUGUUGCCCAGGUUGCUCUGAACUCCUGGGCUCAAGUGAUCUGCCUGCCUCAGCCUGCCAAAGUGCUGGGAUUACAGGCAUGAGCCACUGCAUGUGGCCCUAUUAACUCCACAUAAGAGAUAUAAAAACCAAUGACAAAGUCACCCAGCCAGUAAGGGAAGAGGCGGAAUUCAAACUUAAGUCAUUUAAUGCCAAGGUCUUCACUGUGUCUCACGACAACUGCAUUUGAUGCGAUCUAACUUGUGUUGACACUGGGAUAGGAUCCAGAGACAAGCAAGACAAGGUCCCUAAUGCCAGAAGUUCAGGGUCUAUCUCGGCAGCACAGCAGAAUAAGGAUGAGCAAGCAAUUAGAAUUCACCUCCACAUCCGAGCCUCAUCCUGUACUAGCUGAGCCUCAGCUCCCUCCUCUGUAAAAUAGAGUACUAAUUCACCAAAAUAAUGGAGCCAUAAGUCAUCAGUCCUCUGCUAUGUGAGGACACAGCAAGAAGGCAGCCACCUGCAAGCGAGAAGAGGCCCUACACCAGAGCCUGGCCAUGGUGGCACCCUGAUCUCAGACUUCCAGCCACCAGACCUGUGAGAAAUCAAUGUUUGCUGUUAAGGCUGCCUAGUCCAUGACAUUUUGUUAUAUAUAGCAGCCUGAACUAAAACAGUAGUGAUUCUGGAAGUCAGGUCUACUAGCCAAACACUGUGAACCACCGAUACAUUUAAUUCCAUUACACAGAUCCAAAGUAGUUUUAUUAUCAAACUAAAGGUACAAAGAAAAGAGUCAAGAAUCUCUAGGCAAUUAAAAAUUAGCAUCACAAUCUAGGUGCGGUGGCUCAUGCCCAUAAUCCCAGUAUUUAGGAUUCCCAGUACUGGGGAGGCUGAGGCGGGAGGAUCACUUGAGGCCAGGAGUUCAAGAUCAGCCUGGGCAAUAGAGCAAGAACCUACCUCUACAAAAAAUAUAAAAACUAGUCAGGCAUCGUGGCAUAAGCCUGUAGUCCCCACUACUUGGGAGGCUAAGGUGGGAGGAUUGCUUGAGCCCAGUUAUUUGAGACUGCAGUGAGCUAUAAUCAUACUACUGCACUCCAGCCUGGACAGCAGAGCAAGACUCUUAAAAAAAUUACCAUCACAAAUCAAUUAUGUUCAAAUCUCUCUGUUAAUAAGUAUUUCUUGAUUGGGCUGUUUAGAUUUUAGCAUCUACGUGGGCAAUACAAGGCAGUUGAGGGUGAAGGAAACUGGCAUCUCAUGGCUGGGGUGAUGCAAAUUAUUACUCUCUGUGGGCAGUUUUGUAGCUUUUACUCAAAAUCUUUAAAAUGUACAUAUUCUUUGGCUCUGCAGUUCUACUUCUGAGAAUCUUUCAUCCCACAGGGUACAAAAAGAUGUUCACCAUAGUGUUAUUUUUAUUACUGGAAAGUGGGACACAAUAUAAACAGCAGUCAUUACGGGACUGGUCCCAUGUUAGCACACAAGAACACCGGGAUGGUAUACAGCGAUUAAUAAUCAUGUGGCUUUCUCUGCUGACAUGGGAAAGUGUCCAUAAUAGUUUGUCAAAUUAAGAAGAUGACAAAACGGUACAUAAUCAUAUUUCUGUAACAUCGUAUGUAUGGGUGUGUAUGCUUGCAGAAAAGUCUACAAAAAUAUUCCCUGGAUUGUUCACAGUGGCUUUAUCUUGGUAGAAGGAUUUCAAGUGAUAUUUUUUCAAACUUUUGAUUUAACAGAUAGUAUUGUGUUAGGAAGCUAAGCAAAAAAACCCUCAAAAAACAAAAAACUAGAGUGGCCAGGAGUGGUGGCUCAUGCCUGUAAUUCCAGCACUUUGGGAGGCCAAGGCGGGUAGAUCGCUUGAGCUCAGAAGUUGGAGACCAGCCUGGCCAACAUGGCGAAACUGUCUCUACAAAAAAAUACAAAAAUUAGCUGGGCGCAGUGGUACAUGUCUGGAAUUUCAGCUACUUGGGAGGCUGAGUCAUGAGAAUCACUUGAACCUGGGAGGCAGAGGUCACAGUGAGCCAAGAUUGCACCACUGCACUCCAGCCUGGGUGACAGAGUGAGAGCCUGUCUCAAAAAAAAAAAAAAAAAGAAAAAACUGGAGUCAAUCUAAAAUUGCUUUAAAGAAAAGUGUUGAGGAAAUAAUAGAACAGGCAGGAAAGAGAUGUGAGAAAAUGGCAAAGGGGAGUGUGAAAGUUUGGCAAACACAGUUUUAAAUUCUUCAUCCUGCUCUUGCGUGGAAAGACUGUCUGCUCUUGCUUCUAAGUGAUAAACAUCUUAGUGGGAAAACCUCUUCCUUUUAUUUACCCAUUGACCCAGUUUUGGUGGUCAAUGACGCCCGCCCUUCCUGACAGAUGUUGGGGCAUGGGCCAGACAGGCCCGCUGGGUACACAAGGAUGCCCGCUCUUCUCCCUUGAUCCUGCAGUGGCUCCCUAGGGCCUCCAAGUAGGGGGAGUAGUUCUGUUGAUGGAGGGGUCACUAUGUACAAAGACUGAGCUGAAAUUUCUUGCACACCUUCUCAGAAUCACCCUAGGAGGGAAGCUUUUUGAAUGACCCCAUUUUAUUGAAAAAGAAACUAAGGCUCACAGAGGUCAAGGGUCUUGUCCAAGAUCACACAGCAAGUAAGCGAAGGACCUCACGCUCCAGUUCAGGUCGGCCUCUUUCUUUUGUUUUUUUGAGACAGAGUCUCGCUCUGUCGCCCAGGCUGGAGUGCAGUGGCAUGAUCUCGGCUCACUGCAAGCUCCGCCUCCCAGGUUCACGCCAUUCUCCUGCCUCAGCCUCCUGAGCAGCUAGGACUACAGGCGCCGCCACCACACCCGGCUAAUUUUUUGUAUUUUUUUUUUAAGUAGAGACGGGGUUUCACCGUGUUAGCCAGGAUCGUCUGGAUCUCCUGACCUCGUGAUCCACCCGCCUUGGCCUCCCAAAGUGCUAGGAUUACAGGCGUGGGACACCGUGCCCAGCCCAGGUCCUUGUGCCCUUCGAGGGUGCAGACGGUGGUCUCUGCAUCUCCUUUGCUCCACGUGCCAGGCACAGGUGCCUGGGAACUACAGAAGAGGUUGAAUAGAAGGCUUAACAAUGAGUUUGGAAGUCAGGCACAGAGGGUUUGACUUCCGGGGGCACCCCUUGCCAGCUGUAUGACCCUGGUAACAAGAGGAUUCAGAAUCUGAGAGAUACUGCUUAAAAGGAAAAUGUCCUGGAGGGAUGCCAAACUGCACUCUCAAAGGUUUCGGCUGGAUGUGUGAUAUUGAUGGGGAAACCCAUUUCAGUGUCUCUAAGAAGGGGGUAGUGCUCCUCUUUCCAGGAUGUCUCUGGGGAAUCUAGAGCACCCCAAAGUGUGGUAUGCAUAGAAACAUUGCUGCUUAAGGUCUGAAUAUUUGUUCCUCAUCAAUUCAUGUGUUGAAAUUCUAACCUCUCCUGAAUGGGAUUAGUGCUCUUACACGAGAGGCCUGACAGAGACUCCUCACCCUUCCCACCAUGCGAAGACACAGUGAGAAGGCUCAGUCUAUGAACCAAAAUGUUGACUGUCACCAUUUACUCAAUCUGCUGUCGCCUUGAGCUUGGACUUCCCAGCCUCCAGAACUGUGAGAAAUAAAUUUCUGUUGCUUAUAAGACAACCAGUUUAUGACAUUUCGUUAUAGCAGCCUGAAUGGACUAAGACACCCUUCCCACCAUGUGAAGACAGAGUGAGAAGGUUCGGUCUAUGAACCAAAAACUGACCCUCACCAGUCAUUGAAUCUGCUGGUGCCUUGAUCUUGGACUUCCCAGCCUCCAGAACUGUGAGAAAUAAAUUUCUGUCGUUUAUAAGCCACCUAGUUUAUGAUACUUUGUUAUAGCAGCCUGAAUGGACUGAGACACCCACCUUAAAAAGACAGUACCUCAAAACCAUAAGGCAGGAUAACUGCUAGCCUGAUAUUAAUAGUUUUUAAUUUACUGCUAGCUUCAUUUUGCCAACUGAGUCAGAUAUUUUUUAAAAGUUCUGUUUGCAAUUAUUUUAACUUAGGAGAGGAGAAAAAGAGCAGGCAUCAGCCUGCAUAUGGGAUAUUUCUGAAAGGAUUUUGCUAUGAUUAGCUUGCCCUCAGGGAGAGUAAAAUGUGAGUUAUACAACCAUGCUUAUAUUUAGAUGUUGUUGAUGUUCUGGCUUAUAAUAUAUGAUGAGUUAGAAAUAAUUUUGUACUGAUCAGCCCAACCAGAAAAUAAACAUGCUUUAACUUGUAUUUAUUACUAAACUUGGUCUCCUAAAACAUGAUAAAGCAGUUGAGUCUAUAAUGACUGAGCCAUAGCUUCUCUGACUGACUCUAAGAGGGAAUGACGUUAAUAAGAGAUUAGCCCAUACCUCUAAUAGCCCUGGGAGAGAUGAACCCAAGACGGCAAGGCCCAGCUCUGAUGGAUGAAGGGACAGAGAACUAUAAGAAGACUGGGUUCCAUCUAGGAUGGGUGGCCUGUUGAGUGCCCAUCUUAUCUGCUUAGAUGAUGAUACUUGGAGACCUGACUCAAUUGUUGUGAAUGGUCUUUGUAAAAUUUUAUUUUAGAGACAGGGUCUUGCUAUGUUGCCCAGGCUGGUCUCAAACACCUGGGCUCAAGUGAUCCUCCUGCCUCAGCCUCCUGAGUAGCUGGAACUGCAAGUGAUUACUCUUAUUGAACAAACAAACAAAAACAAGUGCCUGUGACCUAAUAGAGAUGCAUGCAUAUGUUCACCAAAAGAUCUAGAAUGUCCACAACAGCCCUAUUUAUCAUCACCCCAAAUGGGGCACCCUGCACCUACCUCAACAGUAGAUGCAUACAUUUCUGUGUAUUUACACUGUGGAAUAUGACACAGCAAUGACAAUGAAUGAACUACAGCUAUACACAACAACAUGGAUGGCUAUCACAAACAUAAGGUAGAGCUAAAAGCGAAAAAAACCAGCAUAAAAGUGGGCAAAAGCCAUCUAUGUUGUUAAAAAUCAGGAUAGUGGCUGCCCUGGAAGGGGGCAUGAGGAGGCUUCAAGGUGCUUGUCAUGUUCUCUUUCUUCACU